RNAcentral lists this ribosomal RNA (253 nucleotides) under uncultured bacterium. RNAcentral's name for it is "partial 16S ribosomal RNA". It matches the Rfam family "Bacterial small subunit ribosomal RNA", at positions 524 to 776 of the family's 1533-position model. The record is from RNAcentral.
UACGAAGGGGGCUAGCGUUGCUCGGAUUUACUGGGCGUAAAGGGCGCGUAGGCGGACAGUUAAGUCGGGGGUGAAAGCCCGGGGCUCAACCUCGGAAUUGCCUUCGAUACUGGCUGUCUUGAGUGUGAGAGAGGUGUGUGGAACUCCGGGUGUAGAGGUGAAAUUCGUAGAUAUUCGGAAGAACACCAGUGGCGAAGGCGACACACUGGCUCACUACUGACGCUGAGGCGCGAAAGCGUGGGGAGCAAACAGG